Paramuricea clavata is the source of this 436-nucleotide non-coding RNA. The record is from the annotation of a GenBank genome assembly. NCBI's taxonomy places the organism in Eukaryota, Metazoa, Cnidaria, Anthozoa, Malacalcyonacea, Plexauridae.
UUGAAAUAAGUCAAUAGGCUAAACGUUCAAAUGCUGGUUAACAGAACUCAAAUGUUGUAGAGCAGAUCUUGUAGUUCUAGUCUAGAAGAUUAUUAUUGCUGCUUGAACAAUUGCUGUCGGGUAACUAUAUUGCUAUCUCUCAGAAAUAGAUCUUCAAUAGACUUAUUGAAAUAGAUCUAAAUCAUCCUGCCUCACAUCUUGUCUUGGCAAAGCGGGAUAUCAUAAAACAGCCCCUUAUUCAGCAAAUUGCGCAUGCUGCCUUCUUUGAUCCCUUGGGAGUGAGGCAGCACUUUCCUUGCGAUAGUAACUUCUAGUAUUAUAAUAUAGUCUACAAACUUUCUUCCUGAUGAUCGCCGACGUCGGCGAUGCCCAUUGUCGUUGAUCAUUUAUAUUCAUUGACGAGUAAAAUCUUUUGUCUAUGCAUGUUCUUCUUCAC